RNAcentral lists this ribosomal RNA (409 nucleotides) under uncultured bacterium. RNAcentral's name for it is "partial 16S ribosomal RNA". It matches the Rfam family "Archaeal small subunit ribosomal RNA", at positions 338 to 747 of the family's 1478-position model. The record is from RNAcentral.
GGCGCGAAAACUUUACAAUGCUGGCAACAGCGAUAAGGGAACCUCGAGUGCCAGGUUACAAAUCUGGCUGUCGAGAUGCCUAAAAAGCAUUUCAUAGCAAGGGCCGGGCAAGACCGGUGCCAGCCGCCGCGGUAACACCGGCGGCUCGAGUGGUAACCGUUAUUAUUGGGUCUAAAGGGUCUGUAGCCGGCCGGAUAAGUCUCUUGAGAAAUCUGGCAGCUUCACUGUCAGGCUUUCAGGAGAUACUGUCUGGCUCUAGGCCGGGAGAGGGGAUGGGAAAUUCAGGGUUAGGGUUGAAAUCUUAUAAUCCUUGAAGGACCACCAGUGGCGAAGGCGUCUCACCAGAACGGACCUGACGGCAAGGGACGAAAGCUAGGGGCACGAACCGGAUUAGAUACCCCAGUAGUCC